GACUUCUAAGAGAGAGAAAUGGCUGCCAGGCCAGGAUACCCUCCACCUGGUGCUCCCCCUCAGGGAUAUCCAGGACCCCCUGGUCCUCCCCCUCAAGGAUAUCCAGGCCCUCCUAGACCCUAUGGACCUCCACCUUCAGGAUAUCCUCCUCGCCCGGGGUACAAUGGUCCACCUAUGACUAGCAGUGCUGGUCCUAUUGGACCUCGCCCUAUGGUUCCAGGAGGACCUGGACCUCAGAUGGUUUCUCUUCCUCAGAGACAAGGGUCGAUGGGACCUCCUCCUGGAUCUAAACGACCAGCGGAUACACGAGGACCAAUGCCUCCCUCCUCUAAAUCCUCAAAGAAGAAGAAGAAGCUGGCUGACAAGAUUCUGCCGCAGAAGGUUCGGGAGUUAGUCCCGGAGUCUCAGGCUUACAUGGAUCUUCUAGCGUUUGAGAGAAAGCUUGAUUCUACAAUAAUGAGGAAAAGGUUGGAUAUCCAGGAGGCACUGAAGCGUCCUAUGAAGCAGAAGAGAAAGUUGAGAAUAUUUAUCUCAAAUACUAGUUUUCCUGCAAGGGAGGGGGAGGGAGAGGAAGGGAGUGUUGCGAGCUGGGAACUCAGGGUGGAAGGACGACUCAUUGAUGAUGACAAACGAGUGGAUCCUGCCAAGACGAAGAGGAAGUUCUCCUCAUUCUUCAAGUCUCUAGUAAUAGAGUUGGAUAAGGAUCUGUACGGACCUGAUAAUCAUCUGGUGGAGUGGCACAGGACACCUACUACUCAGGAGACGGAUGGAUUUCAGGUUAAGAGACCUGGUGACAAGAAUGUAAGAUGCACAAUCCUUCUACUCCUAGACUAUCAGCCUCUCCAGUUCAAACUAGAUACUCGUUUAGCUCGUCUCCUCGGGGUUCAUACACAAACCAGACCCGUCAUCAUAUCAGCGCUCUGGCAAUACAUCAAGACCCACAAGCUCCAGGACCAGCAUGAGAGAGAGUUCGUCAAUUGCGAUCCGUUCCUUAAACAGAUCUUCCAGGCGGAGAGGAUGAAGUUUGCGGAGAUACCGCAGAGAUUGAACCCGCUCCUCCACCCUCCAGAUCCAAUAGUGAUCAAUCAUAUUAUUAGUGUAGAGGAUCUACGACAGGCGGAGAACAAGAAAACUGCCUGCUACGAUAUUGAUGUUGAGGUUGACGAUAACCUGAAGACCCAGAUGAACAAUUUCCUGUUGUCCACUGCCAGCCAGCAGGAGAUACAGUCCCUGGACAACAAGAUACACGAGACCGUUGAUACCAUCAAUAGUCUGAAAACUAGCAGGGAGUUCUUUCUCAGCUUUGCCAAGGAUCCUCAGUUAUUUAUCAAUAAAUGGCUGGAGUCCCAGACAAGGGAUUUGAAGACAAUGACCGAUGUUACUGGAAACCCUGAGGAAGAACGACGAGUAGAUUUCUACUAUCAACCCUGGGCAACAGAGGGAGUUUGCAGAUAUUUCUAUGGAAAGAUUCAGCAGAAGAGAGCUGAGCUGGAUGCGAGCUUGGGAAUAAGAAACGCAUAGAUCGUGUUCAAUGUCCAAGAAACGACAAAUAUUGCUGUAUCAAAUCUGUAUUAAACUAUAGUUUCAAAUAUCCUAGCUCAGUAUCCUGUACUCUGAAAUCAUUUAACGAUCAUUCCCUCAAUCUAAACUAUCGUACCAGCAGUUCAAUAUUAAGAAGAAAUAUCUCUCAACAGUUUAAUGUAUUGUAACGUAUACUAGUAAUGUAUACUAAUUGUAUACUUAUUUUCUACUUUUUUUUAAGUAAUAUUAAAUAUGCUUACAAAUUGUAACCUAUGGUAUCUUUUUAUUGUUUAAUUGUAACAUUAAUUCAAUUUGGAAAAAGGAAUAAAUUGUAUUUCGACAUAA
This 1866-nucleotide unclassified non-coding RNA is filed under the name Eurytemora carolleeae. Its description in RNAcentral is "brahma-associated protein of 60 kDa". The record is from RNAcentral. Lineage: Eukaryota; Metazoa; Arthropoda; Copepoda; Calanoida; Temoridae.